Molecule: transfer RNA, 94 nt
Filed under: Flavobacterium sp.
Lineage: Bacteria; Pseudomonadati; Bacteroidota; Flavobacteriia; Flavobacteriales; Flavobacteriaceae
Description: tRNA-Sec
Rfam family: tRNA
About the family: Transfer RNA (tRNA) molecules are approximately 80 nucleotides in length. Their secondary structure includes four short double-helical elements and three loops (D, anti-codon, and T loops). Further hydrogen bonds mediate the characteristic L-shaped molecular structure. tRNAs have two regions of fundamental functional importance: the anti-codon, which is responsible for specific mRNA codon recognition, and the 3' end, to which the tRNAs corresponding amino acid is attached (by aminoacyl-tRNA synthetases). tRNAs cope with the degeneracy of the genetic code in two manners: having more than one tRNA (with a specific anti-codon) for a particular amino acid; and 'wobble' base-pairing, i.e. permitting non-standard base-pairing at the 3rd anti-codon position.
Source: RNAcentral
GCAGAAUUAGUGUAACGGUAGCACACAAGCCUUCAGAGCUUGACGACGUACCUCCAGUACGUAAGAGCGGGUUCGAUUCCCGUAUUCUGCUCAA